This 15128-nucleotide long non-coding RNA is filed under the name Musa acuminata (dwarf banana). RNAcentral's name for it is "long non-coding RNA (MACU_LNC003111)". The record is from RNAcentral. Lineage: Eukaryota; Viridiplantae; Streptophyta; Magnoliopsida; Zingiberales; Musaceae.
UUCUCUUAGACCAGUCAAAUUUCCAAUCCCAGCGGGUAUGGCACCAUGAAACAUAGAAAAACUGAGAUCAAGAUAAGAGAGUCUGUGGAGUUUCCAUAGCCAGUUGGGGAUGGUGGAGUUGAAGAGGUUGCCAAAGAGAUCGAGAGUGGUCAACGUCGUGAGGUUGACAUGGGAAAGAGAAGAGGGGAGGUCGGUGAGGCCACAGUAUUGUAAAUGUAGCUCCUCCAGUGAGGACAACAUGUUCACCGCUUGAAGCCAAUUGUGGGAGGCCAUGGAAAGAUUCCCAAAGCUCAUGUCGAGGUAUCUCAAGGAAGUGAGACGCGAGAGCCAGUGCAGGCCAUCGGUCGAUAAGCCACCCGAAUUGAGAUCGAGAUAGCGGAGGCUGGACAGGUUGCCCAGCUGGGGCGGAAUGGCUCCGCUGAAGUUGGACCAGGAGAGGUCGAGAUACGUCAACUUGGUAAGGGAACCCAAAAAUUUCGGGAUUUGGAUCCCACCGAAGUCAUUGUAGCUGAGGUUGAGGCGCUCCAAAUGAGUUAGAAGGAGCAAGGAUGGUCUGAUCUCACCUCCGAUAGACGUCUCAUAGUUAUAAGGGUCGGAAUUCUGGAGGUUGAGCUCCACGACAUGGCCGGUUCUGUUGUCACAGACCACCCCGCUCCAUCUGCAGCAGUCUACUCGGCCUCGCCAUGAUGACAAACUGCUAGAAGGAUCCUUGACGAUGCCGGUUUUGAAGUCGAGGAGGGCGUCCCUCUCACCCUCUACGCACCCCUUCGUCGUCGGCGUUGUUGCCGCCGUGAACAAAAGAAUGCUCGUAAGCCAACGCCCGAAAGAGUAGUGCCGUGGCACAGGGUGUGUGCUACUGGUGCAAUAGUCCAUGAGGCUAUUUGGUGAGUGGAUAGUGUACUGAGAGAUGGAAGGCGGCGGAGGACAUGUAUAUAUAGAGUGGGUGUGGGGGCGUGAUGGCCCUCCCCUCCCGCAACCCAUCAUAGACUCCUGUGAAACGUUAAGAUUGAUGCACUGGUAGCGAUGUAUAGAUAAAAAACAUGACUUUUGUGGGAUUCGACUCCUGCCGGACCUGCAGUCUGUGCACCUUGCAGCUUACUCGAACUUGGUUUCUACCCUGCCUGGGUCCCAAAGUUGGGGCUCGGUUCGCAAGAACGAAAGAGAUUGAUACUGGAUUACAAACUUGAAAGAAACGGCCAUUUAAUCGGCCUUGUUGGAUUGCGUAGAACGUCUCAUUCGGCCCGAAUGCGAUAGUGUGGAAUCGAAUUCAUGCCUCCCUCAUUCCACACGGUUUGAUUCUGAUGUCCGCACAUCGGAACGCAUCAUCUUCUUAGCCAAGAUAAAAUGUAUGGAGGCGAUGAAUACCUUAUUCCAGGGGUCGAAAUGUCGCCAUGACAUGUCAAACGUCAUCACGGAAGACAACGUGGAUGAAGACUCCGACCCACCGCAAACGAUUCCUCACCCAAGAUAACACGGUAAGCCAUCGCUUUACAUGUAGCGUCCUUCCGAAAGAGGGAGACUCAACGAUGUUUGUAGCGGAACGCACGCUUCGCUUUCACAUGUGUGGAAAUCUUUGUUGGGAACCCAAAGUCACGCAACAAAUUGAUUCGUUUGACACACAAGUGGUGAAGAUGAUGAGGAUUUCCCACCAUUUUUGUGAUGAAUUUUGUGGGGAAUUGUCCCCACAGGAGCGAAAGAAAUGGCUGCAAAUUUUCUGUUCUUUUUAUCUCUUUCGUUUUCUACAAAAUUGCACUUGUUUUUAUUCCCUUCAAAAUUAAUGAUUUCGUACUUAUUUAAAAUUAACUUGAUUAUGCAAUUCUUAUUACCUAAUCACCAAUAAAGAUAUAGAUUUACAACCCAAAUGGAUGGGUCUUCCAUGAUCCCAAGUUGAUUCCCCUAUGCUUUUGUUCUGGAGAGAUCAUCCUGGCUAACACCCAAAUGGACGGAUGACAUGCACUGAGCUACCUUGGAGAUGUGGGUGACUCCGUGAGUUUUUUUGUACGUAAGCGUGCUUGUUUUUGUUAAUGAUUGCCGGAGAAGUUUAUAUAGUUAUUGAUAAAAGAAAAAAUAAUAUUAAAUCUAGUAUAAUAUUCAUGUGAAAUCUGGGGAUAUAAUGACUGAUCGAAUUACGCAUUCAUUAAUAUUUUUUUCAAAAACAAAUUAUAAUAUAAUUGUAUGUUAUAUUGAACAUAUAAAAUAUAUGAAAAAUAAAUAAUUGUAUGAUUUCAUUCAAUCGUUUGCUUGUUCCAGCAUUUAUCAUCUAUACGUGAGAGACCAAACCAUUCCUUGGAUCCAUCCUACUCGAAAUCAUCAUACGACCAUCUAAUCAACAAACCAUUACUGCAGCCAAUCAUAGAAAAACCAAGAUUGGUCGUAUAAUAUUUGUAAUAUUUCCAAGCAUAUAAUGAACAAACGAAAAAAAAAAAAAAAAAGCUUGAGAUUGUGCGUCACAUAACCUUCAAAACAUUCAGUAGAGAUACUUGUACAUAUUAACCUCAUCGCAACCUUUAAUUCAUUGUCAACCUAGCCGUGAUGUCAGCAUAAAAUUUAUAAUAUACUAUAUUAAAUAUAAAAAUAAUCUUUUAUGUCAAAAUUAAAAUCAAAUAAUUAGAUCUGAUUUUACGAUAUGUACCUUUUGAUGUCAUCUGAAAGGAUGUUUGAUCUACAAGGAUACCGUAUUUAAAUCCAAUAUCGUUAUCAGUCUGCAAAAUGAACUAUAUCCUCUCUUCCUAUCCUUUCAUAAAACCACUUAGAUUGAUGGUUAAGGAGAAGCGUUGAAAGAGAUGCGUUGAAAGAGAUACUUUAAUCCCUCAACUAUAAUUACUAUUCCUCUUGUUUAGUCCUUAUAAGUCAUGUCUAUUUAUAAACGAGAGCAGAUGGUUUAGAAUAAGUAAUUAAAAUAGUUUCUCCUGUAUCCUAAGGAAUCCUACUUUAAUAUAGUGGCUAAUAUAUUACAUCAAAAUCCAAUUAGUUAUAUUAUAUAUUUAUUAUCUAAUUAUAAAUGACCACAAAAACUAAUAUUUUGUCACUUGACCCAUUAAUUGAUAAGAUAUAAAAAAGAUAUUCAAAAUCAAAAUAAAUAAAAUAAAAUUUAUUUUAAAAUAAUUUUACCUAAUUGGAUUUCAAAGAAUUUUGAAAAUCAUUUUAUACAUGGUCAUGAAUUUUAAAAUAAACCAAUAAGUCCAAUAUACAUAAUAAUACUAUAUUAAGCUCAACUAUCAAUACGAAUCAUAACGGUUGUAUAUCAUCAAUGUCAUACUUUUUUCUAUAUACUACAACAUUAUUAGUCUUUCCUAAUAUAUUUCAUAAUGACCCAUAUAAUUUAUCUUGUCAAGACAAUUUUGUAAUAGCAUUUAUCUAAACAUGCAUAAUCAUAAUCAUAUAUUAAGCUCACAAGCCUCAUUCUAAGAACCUAUUCUUUAAAUAUUUUAUAUUAUAAAGCUUUUGUUAAUAGAUCAGCAAUCAUCAUAGUGGUGCUCAGGUUGUCAAUUGACACUUACUGUUUCUGGAUUCUUUCUCUAACCACCGAGUAAUUUAUCUCGAUAUGCUUGGAACCACUAGAGUACUUAUCAUUUUUAGAGAAGAAAAUUACUGUGAUAUUAUCACAAAAUAUCUUCAAUGGUCUGGUAAUUGAGUCAACCACACAAAGUCCUAAGAUGAAAUUUCAUAGUCAUAAAACUUGAUUUGUGGCCACAAAGCAUGCCACAAAUUCAACUUUCAUUGUUGAUGAUACAAUAAGCGAUUACUUUACACUUUUUCAAGAAAUUACCCAAUCAGCUAACAUGAAUACAAAUCCAGAAGUGGACUUUCAACUGUCGAGAUAAUUUGCAAAAUCAGCAUCUGAAUAUCCUAUCACUUCAAGCUGAUCUGAUAUCGUAUAUGUGAGCAUAUAAUCUUUCGUCCCCUAUAGAUAUCCAUUACUUUAAUUGCAGCUUUCCAAUGUUCUAUUCCUGGGUUACUUUGGUAUCUUCAUAGCAUUAUAAUUGUAAAACUAAUAUAUGAUCUUGUACAUGUUUGAGCAUAUAAUAGACUUUCAAUUGCACACCCAUAAUGAAUAUUUUUAUUUGAUUUUUUUGUAAGUCAUUUUUCGGGCAUUGGUUUUGAUUGAAUUUUUCACCUCUAGUAAUAGGUAUAUCAUUAGCUCAUAUUAAAUCUCUCCAAAAUAUGAUUAAUAUAUGGUUUCUGAGUCAAUCAUAAUAAUCCUUGAGAUCUAUCCUUAAAUAUCUCAAUGUCAAUAAUAUAUACUGCCUCAUUCAUAUAAACCAUCUUAAAGUUCUUGUUGAGAAAUAUCUUGGUUUCGUGCAAUAAACCAAGAUCACUACUUGUAAGUAAAAUAUUCGUUGAAUCUCAAAUUUUGAUGAUGAAACUAAUUAAUAAGUGUUUAUGAUUUGAUUUGCGUUUUGAGUGAUACAGGAUGCUUCAAUCUAGGAGAGACAAUUAAAGUGGAAGAAUCAUGUUGGGCCGGUGGAACAUGUCAAAAGAUUGGACGUCAAGCCUGAAGAUCGGUCGACGUAUCGACAUAAGGCUUCAGGCCAAGAAGAGCGGAUAUUGCCCCAAAGAUAUCGGAGUUGCGGAGGUCAACUGGUCGAUUGGGCAAUGAACCCACAAGAGAGGACGAUGCGUCGAAGAAUCGGACGAAGCGUCGAUAGACUAAUGACAUGUCGGACAACAUGAUUCAUGCUUAGUAAUAAUUAUCUAGAUCGAAGUGUGUUUUAUGUGUGUAGGAUUAACUACGAUAGCAAGGCAUAAAGCAAAAUGAAGUCCCGGAGUCAAGAACGUGAUUUCGUUGGGAGUUCGAGAGUUCGUCAGAAGUCCGAACGUUCGUCAGAAAUUCUACCGGAACCAACCAAGAAGUCCAGGAGCUUGCCAGAGAAGCUCAUCGAAAUUAGCCAAGAAUAUCAUCGUGAAGUCUAGGAGCUUGCCGGGAGUCCGUUGGAACAUGCCGAGAGAUCGUCGGAAGUUCGCCGGAAGAAACCUUGACUUAUCGGACUUAUUUAGCUUAGUGUAUGCUUUAGAAUUCGUAGUUAGCAUAUAAUUGGGAUUGGAAUUUGGCCAACCCAAUUAUGGGCUAGUUGGGCCCAUGUAAGGACUGUGUUGAGCCUAAUAAAAGGCUCAAACAAUGACCCAAGAGGUGGCACUGUCGUGACAUAGUCUUCGAGACUAUGUCAGGCGAUGGUAUCGCCGGUCUGGGCGAUGGUACCGCCCAGACAAAGUCUCUAAGAGACUAUCAAGCAGUGGUACCGCCAGUCUAGGCGGUGGUACCACCCAGCACAAGCUGUGGUAUCGCCCGUACCUAGGAAACCCGCGAUGAGAUAUUUUUAGGCUCCAAGUUUGAAUCAACUUGAGGCCUAUAAAUACACCUCUUAUCCCUGGUUAACAUACACAAGCACAAAUAAUUUAAAAGUGAGAAAACGCUAUUGCAAUCUCUUGAGAAAUUCUCUCCUCUACUCUAAGUCUAGAAUUCUGUUUAAGUGAGGAGUGAGUGCUUGUAAAGGUUAUCUCCUAAACCUGUGAAAAAAAGAAGAGAGGUGUAAAAUGGUAGUUGAUCUUCGCCCAUUGAAAGAAGAUCGAUAGUAGAUGCCGAUGGUCUCGACGGAAGAAGAAUCGAUAGAGUGGAUGUAGGUCAUGAUGAGUGAACCACUAUAAAAAUAUGGUUUGCUGUUCUUUUGUAUAAUUUAUCUUACUGCAAACCUCCUUACUUACUGUUAUACUCUUCCGUACACUCUCAAGUUAUCCUUGGAAGAAUCGGUUUUAAUCGAACGAAUAUUUUCAAACUGACGUAAUUUUACCGUUGCACUAAUUCACCCCCCCCUCUUAGUGCCGACUCAUUCCUAACAAUAUCAUCAACAUAUAAGACCAGUAUAUGCACUGAUCAACAGUGUUUUCAAUAAAUCUAAAGGAAGUAAUGGUAUUACGAAACUUUAUAUACUAUUAUCUAGAAACUUAUUUAAGGCAAUAAAUAGAUUUCUUAAGUUUACAAGCCCAACUUUCUUUUUCCUUUUCGAUGAAUCAUUUAGGUUAUUCCAUAUAGAUUUUCUCAGCCAAAUCCCCAUUCAAAAAUGUUGUUUUCACAUCCAUCUGAUAUAACUCGAAAUCAUAAUGAGCUACUAAUGCCAUGACGAUUCUCAACGAGUUCCUUUUAGAAACUAGAGAAAAAGUCUCGUUAUAGUUGAUGUCUUUUUUCUAAGAAAAACCUUUGGCCACAACUCUUUUAUAAUUAUCGAGCAAUUCAAUGAGUUCCCAAACAUCAUUCUGGAUUAUUGAUUUUAACUCUUCUUGUAUUGCAUCGUACCAUUUUUCAGAAUUGUUACUUUUUAUGGCUUAUGAAAGCAAAAAAAGGGGUCUCUUUUUAUUCAUAUAUCAUAAUAUGAUUCUUGUAGAUAUACCACAUAAUCAUCAGAAAUUACAUGUUUCCUUUUUCUUUGAGAUCUUCUCAAAGUUAUCGAUUGUGAUUGUUCUACAAGUUCAUCAGUGGUGACAUCAACAUCAUGCGAGAGUUUUCAUUAAUUUGAGAAACAACAAUCACUCAAAUAGGAGAUUAUAUGAGAGAAUUAAUCUGAAUCUUCUCAAUAUCAAAAUUGAUCAUUCUAUAUUUAGAUCCAAGAUUGAUGGUUAGAGAGAAGAGUUAGAGAGUGACUUUGAUCCCUCAAUUAUAAUUUCUUUCUUUCUUGUUUAGUCCCUAGAGAUCUUGUCUAUUUAUAAGUAAGAAUAGAGGAUCUAGAAUAAAUAAUUAGGAGACUUCCUUCCAUCAAUAUUAUCUCAUAACGAAUCAUAUUUUACACGUACUUCUUUUCUAUUGACUAAUAUAUUAUAUCAGAAUCUAAUUAGUUAUAUUAUAUAUUUUUUAUCUAAUUAUAAAGGAUAAUCUAAAUAUAAAGGGUCGUAAAUAGAAUCCUCGGUCAAAAGUGUGCAAGAACUGCAUGCGUAUGUAACAAGAAAGCAAAGACAGAUGGUCUUCAAAGAGAUUUGCGAACUAAGAUACUGUUCUUGGAAGGACAUGGCCAAUUAAUGGCCCUCCUCAGAUUGGGUUCCACAUUGGCUCUACUCCAAAGCCUUGUUUGACCUGCCGUUCAUUAUGAUAGAAAUAAUAGAAGAUAAGAACAAUAAUGGAAGAAGCUUUAUUGUAGAAAUGAAAUAGCUUUAGCUUAAAUACAUUAACAUGUUCCUCUCCUAUUUAUAGGAUUAGGAGGGAGGAUUUUCCUCAACAGAAUAGAUAAGAUUUCCUCAUAUAGUGAGGAAAUCUUAUCUUCUAUCAUGCCCCCGUAAGAUGGUGCUCCUGACAAGGAUACCAAUCUUGGAACGAUGCAAGGAAUGAUUUACAAGCAAGAGGCUUCAUGAGUAGGGCAAGAGUUGAUCGCUACUGUUGCUGCGAUUGCUGUUGCUGUGAGGGCACAGGCGUUCCUUUCGUUCUCCUUAAGUCCGCCCUUCGUUCUCCUUAAGUCCACCGACUGUAGAAGAUGAGGAUUGGCCGUGAAACCUCUUAGGAAUGUGCCUGUAGCGACGUUGGUAGCUGGCCGAAGGCAAGGGCGAAGCUUCGCUUUUCUCACUGCUCUGAUACCAUGAUAGAAAUAAUAGAAGAUAAGAACAAUAAUGAAAGAAGCUUUAUUGCAGAAAUGAAAUAGCUUUAGUUCCUCUCCUAUUUAUAGGAUUAGGAGGGAGGAUUUUCCUCAACAGAAUAGAUAAGAUUUCCUCGUAUAGGGGAAAUCUUAUCUUCUAUCACAUUGCACGUAAUCUUCCUGGCUAUUACUUUGCUGCUUCAAUAAUUCGUAAAAAAGAUAAUUGGAAAUUAGAUGGAAGAGAUGUGAAUUCAUAUGUAAUUUUAGGCUAUAUAAAGGCCACGAAAUAAGCCCAUUCUCUGUCUUUACCCAUCGCCUCAGCCUCGGUGGGAUCCCUCCCGUGGCGGCUACCUUUCUCGCAAGCACCGGAAUGGUAGGUUGGGCUGCUCCCUCUGCCUGCAGUCUGUGGAGUAAACCUCGAUACGAAUCGUCGAUGCGACUUGGUGCAUCGGAAGAUAGAUUUCCGAAACGUGGAGUAAAUCUUGAUUUCGUGAUGGCAAAGGAGAUGAGCCACAUCCAAACCGUGAGAUCGUCACUGCAAAAUGCCAAAGGAACCAUGCAAUGGAUCGCCAAGGACGUCGUAGUACAACAGACAGUGAUCGUACACCCUAAAAACAAUGGCUCAUCACAGCGCCCAACGAUCAACGAUGCGAAAUGUCAAGAACACCAUGCGAUCACCGACGACAAUGAAAAGAAUCUGUGCAGAAUGGUGAUCUUUAUAUCACUUGGCUAAGGAACCUCUCGUAGCGAUAACUGAUAACAAUGUUAAAUCAGUGCAGUUUUGUCGUCCGAUGGUGCCUGUUUAUGCGAGAGAGAUCUGUGCGGUCAAUGAUGGAAGAAGAAGGAUUCCCAAACCAGACGAGUUGUUCUCGAUGCCUCCUACAUCGGAACAGAAACAGAGUUUGAGAUUAACAUUUCAUAAUCUUCAAAACGAGAUCCUUUUUGACAGAUGAAAUGGAUCACACUUAUAACACGAAAGAAACUUGCAUCACAUUCGAUCAGCUGCGUCAUGGCAAUUUCGCAUUCUUAUCUUGAUUGCCACAUAAGCUCUGUCGUACAUCUUGUCCACCGUUGCAAAAUAGAAGAGCCUCCAAUCUUUCUUGAACAGCAUGAUCACGAACACGCUCCAUAAGCCGACCAAAUAUCCGAGCCCGGUACUAAAGUAAAAUGACAGCACACGAGAUCCUUGUUCGUACUCCUCCUCCGUCGAAUCGACGUUGGGAUCGUCGGAGCAACUCUUGGUCACCGGAGGUCCACAGAGAUGGACAUUUCCGAUAUAAAUGGAUGCAUCCUCCAGCGUCCGAAGUUGAUUCCCCGAUGGAAUCGCUCCCGAUAGAUUGUUGUAAGACAGAUUCAAGUGGUUCAGAGAAUUCAGCGCAGAAAAGCUUUGAGGAAUGCCUCCGGAUAACUUAUUGAAUGACAGAUCCAGAGUUUCCAAUGAUUUCAUGGCACCAAUUGCCGCCGGAAUUUGGCCGACAAAAUUGUUUCUCGAUAGAUUUAAAGUUUGGAGCAUUGAAAGAGACCCAAUUUCAAUUGGGAUUUCUCCUGUCAAAUUAUUAUUUGAAAGAUCUAUAAUGUUGACAAGGUAAAGAAUGAUUGAAAAAUUAUAAUAUCUUCCCUUUAUAGUUAGAGCGAUGCUAUCUUCAUAGUUGUCAAAAGGCCACAAAGCAGGGCGGUCCUUUACAAAGGGACUAUAAAAUACUUGUUUGUCUCGACGAGUCAAAUGCUGUUUCCAAUGAGUCAUUGCAGCAUUUAAAUUGCCAAAGGAGUGUGGAAUUGGCCCUGAUAAUUUAUUAUUAGCAAGGUCGAUAACAUGUAGAUAAGCAAGUUGCCCAAGCUCUGCAGGAAUGUUACCGGAAAACAUAUUUGAGCGUAGUCGGAGUACCUCUAGGUCUAGAAAAUUUUGUGCAAUCCAUGUAGGUAUGCUACCCGAGAAUUUAUUAUUGCCAAGAUCAAGAAAAACUAGUGCACUGCAAUUUUUCAAUGAUGAUGGAAGAAGCCCAUGUAGUUUAUUAUUGUUUAAGUGGAAAGACUCGAGCCAAAUCAAAUUUUCAAUAGAGCUGGGAAUUUCUCCCGAAAGCUUAUUAUUUGCCAGAUUAAUGGAGGAAAAGUAGUUUGUCUCCUGCCAACACGAAGGGAUUUCACCUGAUAUUUGGUUGCUCGAUAGAUCGAGAAUAUCAAGUCGAUGACAGUUGCAGAUAAAGGACGGUAUGCUCCCGUUAAUAUGGUUACGUGAGAGAUCCAAGAUUCUAAAUUCUAGUGUGGGAAAGAUCGAUGGCAAUGAUCCUGAUAAAGAAUUACAAGCCAGAUUCAAAUAACGCAAGUAAGAUAGCAAAACCAAGGAAGUUGGCAAAGUGCCGUUAAUUUGAUUUUGGGAGAGAUUUAUAAAAGAAGCAGAGUUAUUCCAAAACCAAUCAGGCAAGACGUCCUCGAUGCUUGUGUUCGACAUAUCCAAAUAUCUAAUGGAGUUUUGUGAACGGAGCCAUCUUGGAAACGCAGGACCCAACUUACAAGAACUCAGUUUAAUGGAUCGGAGUUGAAAAGGAGGAACCCAAUUGUGGUCUAUUGAGAUGACUAGGGAGUUUUCGAAUAGAUCGAGCUCACUUAGUUUGGUUAAGUUAGCGAAAUGGAGUUCAGACAUGGUGCCCUCUAGGGAAUUACUAGAGAGAGAAAGAAUAGUGAGGUUGGAAAGCUUGCCGAUCUCAAUGGGUACGGGACCUGAAAGUGAAUUAUCGUUAAGAUAAAGCUCUCCUAGACCGGUCAAAUUCCCAAUCCCAACAGGUAUGGGUCCAAAGAGUGAAUUAUCAUUAAGAUAAAGCACUCCUAGACUAGUCAACUUCCCAAUCCCAGCAGGUAUGACUCCGAAGAGUGAAUUAUGAUCAAGAUAAAGCUCUCUUAGACUAGUCAAAUUCCCAAUCUCAGCAGGUAUGGGUCCAAAGAGUGAAUUAUAACUUAGAUAGAUAAGUUUUAGACUAUUACAAAUUCCAAUCUCAGUGGGUAUGGGACCUGAAAGUGAAUUAUCACUCAGAUGAAGUUCUCUUAGAUCGGCCAAAUUUCCAAUCCCAGCGGGCAUGGCACCAUGAAACAUAGAAGAACUGAGAUCAAGAUAGGAGAGGUUGUGGAGUUUCCAUAGCCAGUUGGGGAUGGUGGAGUUGAAGAGGUUGUCACUGAUGUCCAGAGUGGCCAGUGCUGUGAGGUUGACAUGGGAAAGAGAAGAGGGGAGGUCGGUGAGGCCACAGUCAUGUAAAUGUAGCUCCUCCAGUGAGGACAACAUGUUCACCGCUUGAAGCCAAUUGUGGGAGGCCAUGGAAAGUUUCACACCGCUCAUGUCGAGGUAUCUCAAGGAAGUGAGACGCGAGAGCCAGUGCAGGCCAUCGAUCGUUAAGUCAUAUAGUGAAUUUAGGUUGAGAGAGCGGAGGGUGGACAGGUUGCCCAGCUGGGGCGGAAUGGCUCCGCUGAAGUUGGACCAGGAGAGGUCGAGAUACGUCAACUCGGUAAGGGAACCCAAAAAUUUCGGGAUUUGGAUCCCACCGAAGUCAUUGUGGCUGAGGUUGAGACGCUCCAAAUGAGUUAGCAGGAGCAAGGAUGGUCUGAUCUCACCUCCGAUAGACGUCUCAUUGUUUAGAUAGUCUGGAUUGAGGUUAAGCUCCACGACAUGGCCGGUUCUGUUGUCACAGACCACCCCGCUCCAUCUGCAGCAGUCUACUCGACCUCGCCACGAUGACAAGCGGCUGGAAGGACCCCCGAGGAGACCGGUUUUGAAGUCGAGGAGGGCGUCCCUCUCGCCCUCUACGCACCCCUUCGUCGUCGGCGUUGUUGCCGCCGUGAACAAAAGAAAGCUCGUAAGCCAAAGCCCGAAAGAGUAGUGCCGAGGCACAGGGUGUGUGCUUCUGGUGCAAGAGGCCAUGAUGCUAUUUGGUGAGUGCAUAGUGUACUGAGAGAUGGUCGGCGGUGGAGGACAUGUAUAUAUAGAGUGGGUGUUGGGGCGUGAUGGCCCUCCCAUCCCCAACCCAUCGUAGACUCCUGUGAAACGUGAAGAUUGAUGCACUGGUAGCGAUGGAUAGAUAAAAAGACUUUUGACUUUUGUGGGAUACGACUCCUGCUGGACCUGCAGUCCGUGCACCGUGUAGCUUCCUCGAACUUGGUUUCUACCCUGCCUGGGUCCCAAAAUCGGGGCUCGGUUCGCAAGAACGAAAGAGAUUGAUGCUGGAUUUCAAACUUGAAAGAUACGGCCAUUUAUUCCAGGCGUCGAAAUGUAUGGAGGCGAAGAAUACCUCAUUCCAGGGUUCGAAAUGUUCGCCACCACAUGUCAAACGUCAUCACGGAAGACAAAAGUGUGGAUGAAGACUCCGACCCACCGCAAACGAUUCCUCACCCAAGAUAACACGGUAAGCCAUCGCUCUACAUGUAGCGUCCUUCCGAAGGAGGGAGGAGACUCGACGAGGUUUGUAGCGGAACGCACGCUUCGCUUUCACAUGUGUGGAAGUCUUUGUUGGGAACCCAAAGGCACGCAACAAAUUGAUUCGUUUGAUACACAAGUGAUGAAGAUGAUGAGGAUUUUGUGGGUAAUUGUUCCCACAGUAGCGAAACAAAUGGCUGCAUUUCUUUUCAUCUCUUUCGUUUUCUACAAAAUUCCACUUUUUUGUAUUCCCUUCAAAAUUAAUGAUUUCGUACUUAUUUAAAUUUAACUUGAUUAUGCAACUCUUAUUACCUAAUCACCAAUAAAGAUAUAGAUUUACAACGCAAAUGGAUGGAUCCCAAGUUGAUUCCCAUAUGCUUUUGUUCCCGAGAGAUCAUCCUGGCUAACACCCAAAUGGACGGAUGGGAUGCACUGAGCUACCUUUGACUCCCUGGGUGACUCCGUGAGUUUUCGAAAUCAUCACACAACCAUCUAAUCGACAAACCAUUCCUGCAGCCAAUCAUUAAAAAAACAUUAUUAGCCGUAUAAUAUUUGUACUAUUUCUAAGCAUCAAAUGAACAAGUAUACAAAAUAAAAGCUUGAGAUUAUCCGUCACAUAACCUUUAAAAUGUGAAGUAGGGAUAUUCGAAUGCAUUGACCUUUAAUCCAUCGCCAACCUAGCGAUCCGUAUCUUGAAUGCUACGUAAAUCUUGUCGCACAAGUUAUCCAUCACUCGGAAGUAGAAGAUCCUCCAAUCUUUCUUGAAAAGAAUAAUGAUAAAUACGCUCCAUAAUCCGACCAAAUAUCCGAGUGCAAUGCUGAAAGUAAAUGAUAGCACAUCAGAUUCUGUUUUGUUUUCUUCUUCUUCGAAAUCGACAUUAGUCUCGUUGACGCAACUCUCGGUGACCGGAGGUCCACAGAGAUACGCAUUGCCGAUGUAAAUGGAUGCAUCAUCGAGCGUCCGAAGUUGAUUCCCUGAUGGAAUGACUCCUGAUAGGUUGUUGUACGACAAAUUCAAGUGGCUCAGAGAAUCUAGCGCUGAAAAGCUUUCGGGAAUGACGCCAGAUAACUCAUUGAACGACAGAUCCAAUGUUUCCAAUGACUUCAUCCGACCAACCGCUGCAGGAAUCGUGCCGCCAAAACUAUUUCUGGAUAAAUUUAAGGUUUGCAGUGCAAAAAGAGAACCAAUUUCCGUAGGAAUCACUCCGGAUAGCUCGUUAUCUGAAAGGUCGAUGCUUUUCACGAGAUUGAGAAUGGUCGAGAAACUGAACUCAUCUCCCUUCGUGACCAGAGAUAUGCUUUCGCUGGCCACAAAAGAGGAUAGCACAAACUCUACAUUGUUUGAUAUCGUAGAGGACAUCGACUUGGAGAUAGAGAUCAUCGCACUGAAAUUGCCAAACGAGUGCGGCACUGACCCCGACAGUCUGUUAUUGGAGAGGUCGAUGAUCUGAAGAUCUCUCAGCUGCCCGAGUUGCAUAGGAAUAUUGCCUGAUAACAUAUUCGAGCGCAGUCGAAGCACCUCCAGAUUUUGCAAGCUCUGUCCGAUCCAUGUCGGUAUGUUCCCGGAAAAUUUGUUGUCGCCGAGAUCAAUAAUAGCUAACCGAUUGCAAUAUCGCAACGACGGCGGAAUACGUCCGGAGAGACUGUUGUUGUUUAAGUGCAAGAACUCAAGGUUGCUCAAGUUUCCGAUGGAGUCAGGAAUUUUCCCCCACAGCCUAUUAUUCGACAGAUUAACGAAGAAUAGUUUCGUUGCCUCCUGCCAACACUGAGGGAUUUCUCCGGAUAUCUGGUUGUUCGAUAGAUCGAGAGCAUAGAGUUGCUGCAAGUCGCAGAUGUCGGAUGGUAUGCUUCCCCGAAAAUAAUUGCGGGAGAGGAAUAAGUAUGCCAAGAACGGUGACAGGGUCCAUGGAAGCGAACCGGACAAAGAAUUGUUCGAUAGGUCUAGUGCUUGUAGGUUCGAUGGCAAAGCAGGAAUGUGACCUCGAAGCGUAUUGGAGCUCAAAUUUAAGAACAUCAAGCAGGACAUGCUCUCCAAGGACGCUGGCAGAGUGCCACUGAUUUGAUUGUGGGAGAGGUUGAUAUCCAUGAUGCUGGAAGAAGAAGAAUUCUUCCAGAACCAAAGGGGCACCGCGUCUUGGAUACUCGUGUUGGACAUAUCCAAAUCCAUGAUGGAUUUCUGGGAACGAAGCCACGUGGGAAACGUAGGGCCCAAUUUAAUGGCGUCCAAUUUAACGGUCUGGAGUUGAAACGGCGGGACCCAGUUGUGGUGGAAUUGCAUGGCCAAGGGGUUGUCGUACAGGCACAGGACGAUUAGUUUUGUGAUGUUAGCGAAAUGGCGUUCGGACACAGUUCCCUCCAAAUAGCUACUGGAGAGAUCGAGGGUGAUUAGGUUGGAAAGCUUGCUAAUCUCUGGUGGUAUAAGUCCGGAGAGCAGAUUAUGACUCAGGUCGAGAUUGGUUAGAUUAGACAGAUUCCCGAUCUCGAUGGGUAUUUGACCCGUCAGUGAAUUACCACUGAGGCUUAGAUCCGUGAGACUAGUCAGGUACCCGAUCUCGGUAGGGAUGGAGCCAAUAAGCGAACAGUGAACGAGGGUUAGCUGUGACAAACGAGUCAUGUUCCCGAUCUGUGGUAGAAGACGACUCGUAAACAAAUUAUGGCUGAGGUCGAGGAGGGUCAGACUGGUCAAACUCCAUAUAUCGGCGGGUAUGGAACCGGCAAGCGAGUUGCCGGUAAGGUCGAGCCGUGUGAGACGAGUCAAGUUUCCAAACCCAGUCGGUAUGGUGCCAUGCAAUUCAGAGUUGCUGAUCGCGAGAUUGGAGAGGCGGGGGAGUUCAAAAAGCCAGUUGGGGAAGGUGGAGUUGAACGAGUUAUCACGGAGCUCCAGAUCGGCGAGGGCCGUGAGGUUGACAUGGGAAAGAGAGGUGGGGAGGGUGGUGAGGCCACAACCGGAUGACAAAUAGAGUUGUUGGAGGGAAGGCAGCCGGUUCACUGCAUGUAUCCAGUUGUGGGAGGCGGUGCUGAGGUUCACGCCGCUCAUGUCGAGGUAUCUCAGGGAAGAGAGACGCGAGAGCCAGUCUAGGCCGUCGGUGGUUAAGUCGUAUGAACGCAGAUCCAGAUAGCGGAGGCUCGACAGGUUGCCCAGCUGGGGCGGAAUGGCUCCGCUGAAGUUGGAC